Molecule: long non-coding RNA, 1548 nt
Organism: Falco peregrinus (peregrine falcon)
Lineage: Eukaryota; Metazoa; Chordata; Aves; Falconiformes; Falconidae
Exons: 3
Source: RefSeq, a predicted model, not a curated record
GUCGCCACCACAAAGCAUCUCCUCUGAGAGCUCUCCAUGAGGCAAGAAGCAGGGGCUGCUCCAAAACUUCACUUCAGGAUUGUCUUUGGCUUCUUACUCUCUACAAAAUGUAUAGGUAGCACUUCAGCGCAGCUGAGGGUGAUUUCCUAUUCAGGGUUUAAGUGGAAAUUAGGCAGUAGCUAUUGAUCCACAGGGACUUGCAUUGCACUGGUCUGAACUAGGGAAAAAACCCUUCUUUCAUGUUAUUCAGGUGAUUCAAGUCAGCUGAGUUAACUAUUUCCACGAGAGAAGCUGAGCCCUUUCACCACGUGAUUAAUUUCCUCUUCUAUUUUGAUGGAGCUUGUUGACUUUUAUAACCUCAUUUACAAAAGCAGGCAGCAACCACAACUUUCAGUUGACUUCAGCAAGAGCAACUAAGUAUUAAGCUUUUCUAAAAAAAAAAAUAAUCAGACUGAUUUUUUUUGGCUCACACUACUAGAAAAUAUGAGUUAGUCCACAGAAUUGCCUAACGUAGGGAAUAUGAUGUAUAAAGAUCAGCAUGAAGAGGACCAGGGCACAAGGUUCCUCGGGAGGGCGAAUUGUGGCAUGAAGUGGAAACCCUGGGCCGUUUCUUGAAUCAUAUACUUCCAAGCUGAUGGAAGACAGGCACUGGGGAAGCAGCGAAACUGAAUGAUGGAGGGGAAGAGCUAUAGCUGCAAUGAGUGAAAUUUUGAAAGUUCCUCUGUACAGCGUGUUUCUCUAGAGACCUGGCUGUCUCCUCCUCUUCCUCAACAUGACAUUAAAGUUGAUAAACCGCAAAACUGGUUUUGGUCACAUCAAGUCAGCCAUUGGAGGCAGAAGAAGAAAAUACUAAGCCAUGCCUGCUGUCCUUCCAAGAAAUAAGUGCUGUACAAAUAAUUUUAGCCUGGCAUUGAAGGCUUGAUUCUAGAAAUCAAGUCCUUGCAGGAUGCUCAAAUGCUGCCUACAAAUGAAACGUCGAAAGAUCUCUUCCUAUGUAACAAACCACACUAUAAUGCCGGUGAGCAUGCCCUUAUGAGAGUAGAACUUACCUCUUCAUUUAUUAUUCAUGAACACAUUAUAGUGUCUUCAGAAAUAUAUUCUGCAGCAGGUAAUCUAGCAGGGAAAACAUAAAAUGCAUAUGUCCAAUUAUAAGAGACCUUGUAAAGAUCUUGUAGCAAUGUACUUCCUUAGCACUGGCAAAGUACUGUGUUAUAGAUUAAAACAACACAAACAUAUUACAGUUUGUAUAGUGUUUCACUUUUAUUGGAUGUAUGUUGCUAAGAAACAAAAUUGAAAUGUCUCUUUUGAACCUGAAGCCUCUUGGGAGUGUGGUAUUGCAUAUGUAGUAAAUGUUUUUCACUUUAGGAAGGAUUAAACUGUAGGCCAGGAGCAGCAGGGAGGGUUCAUUAGUAUUGCAUGUUUUCCAGUCUACUACCAAUGAACCUAACUAUUACAGUAGUAAAAGCUAUGUAAGGAGCUUCAGCUUGUUCUGGGAUGAAGUGUUGACAGCUGCUUGUUUGAAUAUUAAUAAAGUCUAUUGAGUUAUUC